Microplitis mediator is the source of this 390-nucleotide long non-coding RNA. RefSeq lists it as uncharacterized. The transcript has 3 exons. Lineage: Eukaryota; Metazoa; Arthropoda; Insecta; Hymenoptera; Braconidae. The record is from RefSeq and is a predicted model, not a curated record.
AGCAAAAUCAUGACAAACAAAUAAUUAUCAUUGGAAAUGUCGAAGGUCACUAUUUUCAACAUAUAAAAGUUAGCGAUCCACAGAUUGAUUACACAAAAGUUUACAGAACUUCGAGAACAACGAUCGCUCAAGAUAUAAAAUCAAAAAAAUGUCGAAAAUAAUUUUAUUAUUAUCAAUUUUCCUAUUGAUUAGUGUCUAUGCUUGUGCAGAUGCAGCAUGUCAAUAUUAUACAUGCAAUCCAUCACAAGGUAUUGGCUGUUGUGAUGCAAUUACAACAUGUAGUAGUAAAAUGGGUGACGGUAUAUGCGUACCUCUUGCGGGAAUGCUGUAACUCUAACCAAUAUAUUUGGAAAAUAAUUAUAACAAUACAGUGAAAAUUUAAAGAUGUAU